UGCAGUCGACGAUGAAGACCGUGCUUGCACGGUUGGAUUAGUGGCGAACGGGUGAGUAUCACGUGAGUAACCUUCCCUUGACUCUGGGAUAAGCCCGGGAAACUGGGUCUAAUACCGGAUACGACCAGUCCUCGCAUGGGGUGCUGGUGGAAAGAUUUAUCGGUCUUGGAUGGACUCGCGGCCUAUCAGCUUGUUGGUGAGGUAAUGGCUCACCAAGGCGAUGACGGGUAGCCGGCCUGAGAGGGUGACCGGCCACACUGGGACUGAGACACGGCCCAGACUCCUACGGGAGGCAGCAGUGGGGAAUAUUGCACAAUGGGCGAAAGCCUGAUGCAGCGACGCCGCGUGCGGGAUGACGGCCUUCGGGUUGUAAACCGCUUUCAGCAGGGAAGAAGCGAGAGUGACGGUACCUGCAGAAGAAGCGCCGGCUAACUACGUGCCAGCAGCCGCGGUAAUACGUAGGGCGCGAGCGUUAUCCGGAAUUAUUGGGCGUAAAGAGCUCGUAGGCGGUUUGUCACGUCUGCUGUGAAAGCCCGAGGCUCAACCUCGGGUGUGCAGUGGGUACGGGCAGACUAGAGUGCAGUAGGGGAGACUGGAAUUCCUGGUGUAGCGGUGAAAUGCGCAGAUAUCAGGAGGAACACCGAUGGCGAAGGCAGGUCUCUGGGCUGUUACUGACGCUGAGGAGCGAAAGCAUGGGGAGCGAACAGGAUUAGAUACCCUGGUAGUCCAUGCCGUAAACGUUGGGCACUAGGUGUGGGGGACAUUCCACGUUUUCCGCGCCGUAGCUAACGCAUUAAGUGCCCCGCCUGGGGGAGUACGGGCCGCAAGGCUAAAACUCAAAAGGAAUUGACGGGGGGCCCGCACAAACGGGCGGAGCAUGCCGGAUUAAUUCCGAUGCAACGCCGAAGAACCUUUCCCAAG
This 921-nucleotide ribosomal RNA is filed under the name Nesterenkonia lutea. RNAcentral's name for it is "bacterial SSU rRNA". It matches the Rfam family "Bacterial small subunit ribosomal RNA", at positions 56 to 979 of the family's 1533-position model. The record is from RNAcentral. Lineage: Bacteria; Bacillati; Actinomycetota; Actinomycetes; Micrococcales; Micrococcaceae.